UGGGGAAUAUUGGACAAUGGGCGAAAGCCUGAUCCAGCCAUGCCGCGUGUGUGAAGAAGGCCUUCGGAUUGUAAAGCACUUUAAGUUGGGAGGAAGGGCAGUAAGCGAAUACCUUGCUGUUUUGACGUUACCGACAGAAUAAGCACCGGCUAACUCUGUGCCAGCAGCCGCGGUAAUACAGAGGGUGCAAGCGUUAAUCGGAAUUACUGGGCGUAAAGCGCGCGUAGGUGGUUCGUUAAGUUGAAUGUGAAAGCCCCGGGCUCAACCUGGGAACUGCAUCCAGAACUGGCGAGCUAGAGUAGGGCAGAGGGUGGUGGAAUUUCCUGUGUAGCGGUGAAAUGCGGAGAUAUAGGGAGGAACACCAGUGGCGAAGGCGACCACCUGGGCUCAUACUGACACUGAGGUGCGAAAGCGUGGGGAGCAAACAGG
Molecule: ribosomal RNA, 429 nt
Filed under: Pseudomonadota bacterium
Lineage: Bacteria; Pseudomonadati; Pseudomonadota
Description: Proteobacteria bacterium partial 16S ribosomal RNA
Rfam family: Bacterial small subunit ribosomal RNA
Source: RNAcentral